RNAcentral lists this ribosomal RNA (2820 nucleotides) under Santalum album (white sandalwood). RNAcentral describes it as "bacterial LSU rRNA". It matches the Rfam family "Bacterial large subunit ribosomal RNA". Lineage: Eukaryota; Viridiplantae; Streptophyta; Magnoliopsida; Santalales; Santalaceae. The record is from RNAcentral.
UCAAACGAGGAAAGGCUGAUGUGUGGAUACCCAGGCACCUAGAGACGAGGAAGGCGUAGUAAGCGACGAAAUGCUUCGGGGAGUUGAAAAUAGCAUAGAUCCGGAGAUUCCCUGAAUCAGGUCAAUCCUCGAACUGCUGCUGAAUCCAUGGGCAGAAGACAACCUGAAACAUCUUAGUAGCCAGAGGAAAGAAGAAAGCAAAAGGACUCGUAGUAGCGGCGAGCGAAAUGAUUUUAAACCGUGAAAACGGGGGCUGUGGGAGAGCAAUACAAGCGUCGUGCUGCUAGGCGAAGCGGUGGUGGAGGUUGCACCCUAGAUGGCGAGAGUCCAGUAGCCAAAAGCAUCAGCUAGCUUACGCUCUGAGUAGCAUGGGGCACGUGGAAUCCUGCUGCGUGACCAGCAAGGACCACUCGCAAGGCUAAAUACUCCUGGGUGACUGAUAGCGAAGUAGUACCGUGGAGGGAAGGGUGAAAAGAACCCCAUCGGGGAGUGAACAGAACAUGAAACCGUAAGCCCUUCAGCAGUGGAGGAGCCCAGGGCCUGACCGCGUGCCUGUUAGAAGAAUGAGCUGGCGACCAUAGGCAGUGGCUUGGUUAAGGGAACCCACCGGACAGCGAAAGCGAGUCUCAUAGGGCAAUUGUCACUGCUAUGGACCCGAACCUGCGAUUCAUCCAUGACCAGGAUGAAGCUUGGGUGAAACUAUGGAGGUCCGAACCGACGAUGUUGAAGAAUCAGCGAUGAGUUGUGGUUAGGGUGAAAUGCCACCUGAACCCAGAGCUAGCUGGUUCUCCUGAAAUGGCAGAGGCAGCAGUUGACUGACAUCUAGGGGUAGCACCGUUUCGGUGAGAUGGGUACCAAAUCGAGGUAAACCUGAAUACUAGAUAUGACCUCAAACCAACAGGGUCAAGGUCGGCCAGUGAGACGAUGGGGGAUAAGCUUCAUCGUCGAGAGGGAAAUAAGCCCGGAUCACCAGCUAUCUCAAAUGACCGCUCAGUGAUAAAGGAGGUAGUGCAGAGACAGCCAGGAGGUUUGUAGAAGCAGCCACCCUGAAAGAGUACAGCCACUGAUCGAGCGCUCUUAAAAGAUGAACGGGCUAAGCGAUCUGAAGCCGUGGAUGUCAAAAUGCAUCGGUAGGGGAGCGUUCCGCCUUAGAGGGAAGCACCUGCGCGAGCGGCGGUGGACGAAGCGGAAGCGAGAAUAUUUAUAACGCAAACAUUGGGUGAGAACUAACACCCUGAAAACCUAAGGUUCCUCCGCAAGGUUCGUCCACGGAGGGUGAAUAGGCCUAAGCAUCAGGCUUCGAAAGGCGAAUGAUAUCAACAGGUGAAUAUCUUGCACUCCCUUGUUGGUCCCGAGGGAUGGAGGAGGCUAGGUUAGCCGGAAAGAUGGUUAUCGUCUGCUGACGCAUGGUGGACCCUGCUUUUUUCAGGGUAAGAAGGGUGGAGAAAAUACUUUAUUUCGUUCGAGUACCAGGCGCUGCUACGGCGCUGAAGUAACCCAUGCCAUACCCCAGGAAAGCUCGCUGAACGACCUUCAAUAAAAGCGGGUACCUGUACCCGAAACCGACAGGUGGUAGGUCACCUAGGGCGCGAGACAAAUUUCUAAGGAACUCGGCAAAAUAGCCCUGUAACUUCGGAGAAGGUACCACAAGGGGGUCGCAGACCAGGCCCGGGCGGACUGUUUACUAAAAACACAGUCUCCGCAAAGUCGUAAGACUAUGUAUGGGGGGCUGACGCCUGCCCAGCCGAAGGUCAAGGAAGCUGGUGACCUGAUGACAGGAGCCGGCGACCGAAGUCUCGGUGAACGGCAACUAUAACGGUCCUAAGGUAGCGAAAUUCUUGUCGGGUAAGACCCGCACGAAAGGCGUAACGAUCUGGGCACUGUCCGGAGAGAGGCCGGUGAAAUAGACAUGUUCAGAAGAUGCGGACUCCCCACCGGACAGAGACCAUGAAGCUUCACUGUCUUCGACUGGCUUUGGGCCUUUCCUGGCAGCUUAGGAGGGCGGCGAAGGCCUCCGGGGGGGGCCUGAGCUAUCAGUGAGAUACCAUCAGUUAUAGAAUUUAACCUGUGUCAGGAUUUUUUCAAGGGACAGUCCAGGUAGACAGUUUCUAUGGGGCGUAGCUCCCUGUAAAAGGUAACGAGGCGCGCAAGGUUUCGGGGCCGGACGGAGAUUGACAGCAAAGGCAGAAGGGGGCUUGAAUGCGCGACCCAACUGUCGAGUGGACGAGUCGGCCUUAGUGAUCCGACGGUGCCGGAGGGAAGGCCGCUCAACGGAUGUUGAUAACAGGUUGAUCUUCCCCAAGAGCUCACAUCGACGGGAAGGUUUUGGGCACCUUGAUGUCGGUGGCUCUUCGCCACCUGGGCUGUAUAACCUAAGCCAGCUGUUCCGCCCACUAAAGCGGGUAUGCAGAGCUGGGUUCAGAACGUCGAGACAGUUCGGUCCAUAUCCGGUGUUAGAGCAUUGGAGAGGACCUUCCCUAGUACGAGAGGACUGGGAAGGACGCACCUCUGGUGUACCAAAGAGCUCACGGCAAACGCUGGGUAGCCAAGUGCGGAGCGAUAACUGCUGAAAGCAUCUAAGUAGUAAGCCCACCCCCCCAAGAUGAGAGUGCUUCCUAUUCCGACUUCCCCAGAGCCUCCAGCACAGCCGAGACAGCCUGCCUCUCUCUGUCUCUCUCAUGGGGAUGGAGCGACAGAGGUUUUGAGAGAAUUCAAGAAGGUCACGGCGAGACGAGCUGUUUAUCAUUACGAUAGUGUCAAGUUAUGCAGUGAUGCAUGCAGCUGGAGGCAUCCUAACAGACCACCGGUAGACUUGAACCU